This 424-nucleotide ribosomal RNA is filed under the name uncultured bacterium. RNAcentral describes it as "bacterial SSU rRNA". It matches the Rfam family "Bacterial small subunit ribosomal RNA", at positions 356 to 772 of the family's 1533-position model. The record is from RNAcentral.
GGGGAAUUUUGGACAAUGGGGGCAACCCUGAUCCAGCAAUGCCGCGUGUGUGAAGAAGGCCUUCGGGUUGUAAAGCACUUUUGUCCGGAAAGAAAUCCUCUGGGUUAAUACCCCGGGGGGAUGACGGUACAGGAAGAAUAAGCACCGGCUAACUACGUGCCAGCAGCCGCGGUAAUACGUAGGGUGCGAGCGUUAAUCGGAAUUACUGGGCGUAAAGCGUGCGUAGGCGGUCCGCUAAGACCGAUGUGAAAUCCCCGGGCUUAACCUGGGAACUGCAUUGGUGACUGGCGGGCUAGAGUGUGGCAGAGGGGGGUGGAAUUCCGCGUGUAGCAGUGAAAUGCGUAGAUAUGCGGAGGAACACCGAUGGCGAAGGCAAUCCCCUGGGCCUGCACUGACGCUCAUGCACGAAAGCGUGGGGAGCAAA